UCGAGAAUAAUUCGCAAUGGACGAAAGUCUGACGAUGCGACGCCGUGUGAACGAUGAAGGCCUUCGGGUUGUAAAGUUCUGUCGCCUGGGAACAAGGUAUUUUUGUGAAUAACAGAGAUAUUUGAGUGUACCAGGAAAGGAAGCACCGGCUAACUCCGUGCCAGCAGCUGCGGUAAUACGGAGGGUGCAAGCGUUAGUCGGAAUUACUGGGCGUAAAGGGUGCGUAGGCGGGAAUAUAAGUCAGAUGUGAAAAACUGAAGCUCAACUUCAGCCGUGCAUCUGAAACUGUAUUUCUAGAGGAAAGGCGGAGAAAACGGAAUUCCACGUGUAGCGGUGAAAUGCGUAGAUAUGUGGAAGAACACCAGUGGCGAAGGCGGUUUUCUAGCUUCGUCCUGACGCUGAGGCACGAAAGCAAGGGGAGCAAACAGGAUUAGAUACCCCCGUAGUCC
This 449-nucleotide ribosomal RNA is filed under the name uncultured bacterium. Its description in RNAcentral is "bacterial SSU rRNA". It matches the Rfam family "Bacterial small subunit ribosomal RNA", at positions 355 to 796 of the family's 1533-position model. The record is from RNAcentral.